AUUGAACGCUAGCGGGAUGCUUUACACAUGCAAGUCGAACGGAGUGGCGAACGGGUGAGUAAUGUAUCGGAACGUGCCCAGUAGUGGGGGAUAACUACGCGAAAGCGUAGCUAAUACCGCAUACUAUUGGAGCGGCCGAUAUCGGAUUAGCUAGUUGGGGAGGUAACGGCUCACCAAGGCGACGAUCCGUAGCUGGUUUGAGAGGACGACCAGCCACACUGGGACUGAGACACGGCCCAGACUCCUACGGGAGGCAGCAGUGGGGAAUUGUGGACAAUGGGGGGAACCCUGAUCCAGCCAUGCCGCGUGUGUGAAGAAGGCCUUAUGGUUGUAAAGCACUUUAAGCGAGGAGGCGUUACUCGCAGAAUAAGCACCGGCUAACUCUGUGCCAGCAGCCGCGGUAAUUC
This 407-nucleotide ribosomal RNA is filed under the name uncultured bacterium. RNAcentral describes it as "partial 16S ribosomal RNA". It matches the Rfam family "Bacterial small subunit ribosomal RNA", at positions 30 to 526 of the family's 1533-position model. The record is from RNAcentral.